UGGAGCUUGCUCUAGCUGGAUUAGUGGCGAACGGGUGAGUAACACGUGAGCAAUCUGCCCCUGACUUUGGGAUAACUUCGAGAAAUCGAUGCUAAUACCGGAUACGACCCUUCCAGGCAUCUGGUGAAGGUGGAAAGAACUUUGGUCAGGGAUGAGCUCGCGGCCUAUCAGCUAGUUGGUGAGGUAAUGGCCCACCAAGGCGACGACGGGUAGCCGGCCUGAGAGGGUGACCGGCCACACUGGGACUGAGACACGGCCCAGACUCC
RNAcentral lists this ribosomal RNA (266 nucleotides) under uncultured bacterium. RNAcentral's name for it is "partial 16S ribosomal RNA". It matches the Rfam family "Bacterial small subunit ribosomal RNA", at positions 74 to 339 of the family's 1533-position model. The record is from RNAcentral.